RNAcentral lists this long non-coding RNA (248 nucleotides) under Carica papaya (papaya). RNAcentral's name for it is "long non-coding RNA (CPAP_LNC003402)". Lineage: Eukaryota; Viridiplantae; Streptophyta; Magnoliopsida; Brassicales; Caricaceae. The record is from RNAcentral.
UAUUUAACCUUAUUAUGUAAUAUGUAAAACAAUGAACAACAUAAACCAUUUAUCAGUCUUCCUUAGCCAACCUUUUUUUGUAUAUUUUAUAUGGUUUUCUUGUUAACGUAUCCUUUUUGGCUGUUUACAUAAUAAUGACAAUGGAAAAUAAAUAUGAAUAAACAUAAAGUCAAGAAGUAUGAUAGGUACAGUUUUAUUUUCUAUGACUGACUACAUUAAUGGAAAAUUAUCAUGGAGAUUUAAAAGCU